This 301-nucleotide ribosomal RNA is filed under the name uncultured bacterium. Its description in RNAcentral is "partial 16S ribosomal RNA". It matches the Rfam family "Bacterial small subunit ribosomal RNA", at positions 509 to 807 of the family's 1533-position model. The record is from RNAcentral.
CAGUAGCCACGGGAAUACGGAGGAUCCGAGCGUUAAUCGGAAUUACUGGGCGUAAAGCGUGCGCAGGCGGUUAUAUAAGACAGAUGUGAAAUCCCCGGGCUCAACCUGGGAACUGCAUUUGUGACUGUAUAGCUAGAGUACGGCAGAGGGGGAUGGAAUUCCGCGUGUAGCAGUGAAAUGCGUAGAUAUGCGGAGGAACACCGAUGGCGAAGGCAAUCCCCUGGGCCUGUACUGACGCUCAUGCACGAAAGCGUGGGGAGCAAACAGGAUUAGAUACCCGGGUAGUCCCUGUCUCUUAUAC